Melozone crissalis (California towhee) is the source of this 228-nucleotide long non-coding RNA. RefSeq lists it as uncharacterized. The transcript is spliced from 3 exons. NCBI's taxonomy places the organism in Eukaryota, Metazoa, Chordata, Aves, Passeriformes, Passerellidae. The record is from RefSeq and is a predicted model, not a curated record.
GGCGGCCGGGCGGGGCGGGGAGCGCGGGCCCUCCCACACAGGAACAGGUCUGAAUUGUAGUGAUAGAAAACCCAUGCUAAAGCAGCGGGACCUAAGCUUGUCCCCAUGUAAACAGUCAUCACUGUCAAGCUGUGCCAAAGCUGUGUUCCAGGAUGCUCCUGAGGAAAGCCCAGCCUUUCUCUUCCCUCCUUCCUUGAAAUCCCAGCUGCCAUAGAAAUCCUUCUCUCC